UUUCCAUGUCUAUAUUUUUUACUGACAAGUCCCACAUCAAAUAUAUCAGUUCAUAGCUUUUGACCCAUACUAUCAUUGUAUGAUAGUCAAUUUAUGAGAAGAAUGCAACAUCAAAAAUGUUCAACCCUUACACUUAACAGCAACUAUAAAAUAUACAUGCCCCACGUCACGAACCGUUUAAAAAGUGCAUUUUACACUUAUUUCAUGUUUUAUAGCCAUAAAAAGGUCCCAAAUUUUUUUUU
This 242-nucleotide long non-coding RNA is filed under the name Mytilus galloprovincialis (Mediterranean mussel). The record is from RNAcentral. Lineage: Eukaryota; Metazoa; Mollusca; Bivalvia; Mytilida; Mytilidae.